GAACACUGGGAUAGCUCAGUUGGUAGAGCAUGAGAUUCUUAAUUUCAGGGUCCUGGGUUCAAGCCUCACAUUGUUCA
This 77-nucleotide transfer RNA is filed under the name Podarcis lilfordi (Lilford's wall lizard). RNAcentral's name for it is "tRNA.Lys". The stretch from base 9 to 77 matches the Rfam family "tRNA". From Rfam's summary of the family: Transfer RNA (tRNA) molecules are approximately 80 nucleotides in length. Lineage: Eukaryota; Metazoa; Chordata; Lepidosauria; Squamata; Lacertidae. The record is from RNAcentral.